AUACAGAGGGUGCAAGCGUUAAUCGGAAUUACUGGGCGUAAAGCGCGCGUAGGCGGUUUGUUAAGUUGGAUGUAAAAGCCCCGGGCUUAACCUGGGAGGGUCAUUCAAAACUGGCAGACUAGAGUGUGGUAGAGGGUAGUGGAAUUCCUAGUGUAGCGGUGAAAUGCGUAGAGAUUAGGAGGAACACCAGUGGCGAAGGCGACUGCCUGGACCAACACUGACGCUGAGGUGCGAAAGCGUGGGUAGCGAACAGGAUUAGAAACCCUGGUAGUCC
RNAcentral lists this ribosomal RNA (274 nucleotides) under uncultured bacterium. Its description in RNAcentral is "partial 16S ribosomal RNA". It matches the Rfam family "Bacterial small subunit ribosomal RNA", at positions 523 to 796 of the family's 1533-position model. The record is from RNAcentral.